AUUGAACGCUGGCGGCAGGCCUAACACAUGCAAGUCGAGCGGAUGAAGGGAGCUUGCUCCUGGAUUCAGCGGCGGACGGGUGAGUAAUGCCUAGGAAUCUGCCUGGUAGUGGGGGAUAACGUCCGGACACGGGCGCUAAUACCGCAUACGUCCUGAGGGAGAAAGUGGUGGAUCUUCGGACCUCACGCUAUCAGAUGAGCCUAGGUCGGAUUAGCUAGUUGGUGGGGUAAAGGCCUACCAAGGCGACGAUCCGUAACUGGUCUGAGAGGAUGAUCAGUCACACUGGAACUGAGACACGGUCCAGACUCCCACGGGAGGCAGCAGUGGGGAAUAUUGGACAAAGGGCGAAAGCCUGAUCCAGCCAUGCCGCGUGUGUGAAGAAGGUCUUCGGAUUGUAAAGCACUUUAAGUUGGGAGGAAGGGCAGUAAGUUAAUACCUUGCUGUUUUGACGGUACCAACAGAAUAAGCACCGGCUAACUUCGUG
Molecule: ribosomal RNA, 484 nt
Filed under: uncultured bacterium
Lineage: Bacteria
Description: partial 16S ribosomal RNA
Rfam family: Bacterial small subunit ribosomal RNA
Source: RNAcentral